Molecule: ribosomal RNA, 682 nt
Filed under: Azotobacter chroococcum
Lineage: Bacteria; Pseudomonadati; Pseudomonadota; Gammaproteobacteria; Pseudomonadales; Pseudomonadaceae
Description: bacterial SSU rRNA
Rfam family: Bacterial small subunit ribosomal RNA
Source: RNAcentral
GGGGGGACAACGUUUCGAAAGGAACGCUAAUACCGCAUACGUCCUACGGGAGAAAGUGGGGGCUCUUUCGGACCUCACGCUAUCGGGAUGAGCCUAGGUCGGGAUUAGCCUAGUUGGUGGGGUAAAGGCUCACCAAGGCGACGAUCCGUAACUGGUCUGAGAGGAUGAUCAGUCACACUGGAACUGAGACACGGUCCAGACUCCUACGGGAGGCAGCAGUGGGGAAUAUUGGACAAUGGGCGAAAGCCUGAUCCAGCCAUGCCGCGUGUGUGAAGAAGGUCUUCGGAUUGUAAAGCACUUUAAGUUGGGAGGAAGGGCUGUAAGCGAAUACCUUGCAGUUUUGACGUUACCGACAGAAUAAGCACCGGCUAACUUCGUGCCAGCAGCCGCGGUAAUACGAAGGGUGCAAGCGUUAAUCGGAAUUACUGGGCGUAAAGCGCGCGUAGGUGGUUUGGUAAGUUGGAUGUGAAAGCCCCGGGCUCAACCUGGGAACUGCAUCCAAAACUGCCUGACUAGAGUACGGUAGAGGGUGGUGGAAUUUCCUGUGUAGCGGUGAAAUGCGUAGAUAUAGGAAGGAACACCAGUGGCGAAGGCGACCACCUGGACUGAUACUGACACUGAGGUGCGAAAGCGUGGGGAACAAACAGGAUUAGAUCCCCUGGUAGUCCACGCCGUCCCUUGU